GCGGAUAUAGUUCAUCGGUAGAACGCAAGCUUCCCAAGCUUGAGAGGCGGGUUCGAUUCCCGUUAUCCGCU
This 71-nucleotide transfer RNA is filed under the name Clostridiales bacterium. RNAcentral's name for it is "tRNA-Gly". It matches the Rfam family "tRNA". From Rfam's summary of the family: Transfer RNA (tRNA) molecules are approximately 80 nucleotides in length. Lineage: Bacteria; Bacillati; Bacillota; Clostridia; Eubacteriales. The record is from RNAcentral.